AUUGAACGCUGGCGGCAGGCCUAACACAUGCAAGUCGAGCGAGCGGCGGACGGGUGAGUAAUGCCUGGGAAUUGCCCAGUCGAGGGGGAUAACAGUUGGAAACGACUGCUAAUACCGCAUACGAUUGGAAUGCCCAGGUGGGAUUAGCUAGUUGGUGAGGUAAUGGCUCACCAAGGCGACGAUCCCGAGCUGUGCUGUGAUGAUGAUCAGCCACACUGGAAGUGAGACACGGGCCCGACUCCGACGGGAGGCAUCCGUGGGGAAUAUUGCACUAUGGGGGAACCCCUGAUGCAGCCAUGCCGCGUGUGUGAAGAAGGCCUUCGGGUUGUAAAGCACUUUCAGCGAGGAGGCGUUACUCGCAGAAGAAGCACCGGCUAACUCCGAGCCAGCAGCCGCGGUAAUAC
This 404-nucleotide ribosomal RNA is filed under the name uncultured bacterium. RNAcentral's name for it is "partial 16S ribosomal RNA". It matches the Rfam family "Bacterial small subunit ribosomal RNA", at positions 30 to 526 of the family's 1533-position model. The record is from RNAcentral.